RNAcentral lists this unclassified non-coding RNA (1228 nucleotides) under Hevea brasiliensis (rubber tree). The record is from RNAcentral. Lineage: Eukaryota; Viridiplantae; Streptophyta; Magnoliopsida; Malpighiales; Euphorbiaceae.
ACAAUGCUGGCAAUGCAGCAGCUGCACUGAUGGCUCGACUUGCUCCAAAAGCCAAGGUUCUUCGAGAUGGAAAAUGGAAUGAAGAAGAUGCUGCUGUUCUUGUUCCUGGGGACAUUAUCAGUAUUAAACUGGGAGAUAUUAUUCCUGCAGAUGCUCGUCUUCUUGAAGGUGAUCCCCUGAAAAUUGACCAGUCUGCUUUGACUGGUGAAUCUCUUCCUGUAACUAAAGGUCCUGGAGAUGGUGUCUACUCUGGUUCUACCUGUAAGCAGGGAGAGAUAGAAGCUGUCGUCAUCGCCACUGGGGUUCAUACCUUUUUUGGGAAGGCUGCACACCUUGUUGACAGUACAAAUCAAGUGGGACACUUCCAAAAGGUUUUGACUGCUAUUGGAAACUUCUGCAUCUGUUCUAUUGCAGUGGGGAUGAUAAUAGAGAUCAUUGUGAUGUACCCUAUCCAACACCGCAAAUAUCGCCCUGGGAUUGACAAUCUUCUUGUCCUUCUCAUUGGUGGAAUUCCAAUUGCCAUGCCAACGGUUCUUUCAGUCACGAUGGCAAUUGGAUCUCAUCGGCUCGCUCAACAGGGUGCUAUUACGAAAAGAAUGACAGCUAUUGAGGAGAUGGCUGGUAUGGACGUGCUUUGUAGUGACAAGACAGGGACCCUUACACUAAACAAGCUUACUGUUGACAAAAACCUUGUUGAGGUUUUUGCCAAAGGUGUUGACGCAGAUACUGUCGUUCUGAUGGCAGCUCGAGCGUCUCGUACAGAGAACCAGGAUGCCAUUGACACUGCUAUUGUUGGGAUGUUGUCUGACCCGAAGGAGGCUCGUGCUGGCAUUCGUGAAAUACACUUUCUUCCUUUCAAUCCAACUGACAAGCGUACAGCGCUUACUUAUCUUGAUGGUGAAGGAAAAAUGCACAGGGUCAGCAAAGGGGCACCAGAGCAGAUCCUAAAUCUUGCACACAACAAGUCAGACAUAGAACGUAGAGUUCAUGCGGUGAUUGAUAAGUUUGCUGAGAGGGGUUUGCGCUCACUUGGUGUGGCCUACCAGGAAGUUCCAGAGGGAAGGAAGGAGAGUUCCGGAGGACCAUGGCAAUUCAUUGGUCUCCUGCCUUUGUUUGAUCCUCCAAGACACGACAGUGCUGAGACUAUAAGGAGGGCUUUGAAUCUUGGAGUGAAUGUUAAAAUGAUCACAGGGGAUCAACUGGCUAUAGGAAAAGAAACAGGGCGUCG